AAUAGAGUGGCGUAGUGGUUUACGUAUUGGACUAUGACUCUCAAAACCAGGUUUCAAUUCCCAGCUUAGCCA
Non-coding RNA from Phrynosoma platyrhinos (Desert horned lizard), 72 nucleotides. NCBI's taxonomy places the organism in Eukaryota, Metazoa, Chordata, Lepidosauria, Squamata, Phrynosomatidae. The record is from the annotation of a GenBank genome assembly.